GGGCCCGCACAAGCGGUGGAGCAUGUGGUUUAAUUCGAUGCAACGCGAAGAACCUUACCUACCCUUGACAUACAGUGAAUCAAUUAGAGAUAGUUGAGUGCCUUUAGGAACACUGAUACAGGUGCUGCAUGGCUGUCGUCAGCUCGUGUCGUGAGAUGUUGGGUUAAGUCCCGUAACGAGCGCAACCCUUAUUCUUAGUUACCAGCACGUUAUGGUGGGGACUCUAAGGAGACUGCCGGUGACAAACCGGAGGAAGGCGGGGGACGACGUCAAGUCAUCAUGGCCCUUACGGGUAGGGCUACACACGUGCUACAAUGGCCGGUACAGAGGGCAGCGAAGGGGUGACCUA
This 349-nucleotide ribosomal RNA is filed under the name uncultured bacterium. Its description in RNAcentral is "bacterial SSU rRNA". It matches the Rfam family "Bacterial small subunit ribosomal RNA", at positions 917 to 1264 of the family's 1533-position model. The record is from RNAcentral.